RNAcentral lists this long non-coding RNA (342 nucleotides) under Homo sapiens (human). RNAcentral's name for it is "non-protein coding lnc-MCM10-1:1". Lineage: Eukaryota; Metazoa; Chordata; Mammalia; Primates; Hominidae. The record is from RNAcentral.
AGACCAUUUCAUUUUGCCCAGCAAUAGCCUAGAAUCUGGCACCUGUAGGACUAAAGACCGGGAAUAGCCUGGAAGAAGUGGGUGGGGAGCGCCAGGCAGGGCAGACCAGAUCGCAAAGGAAAAAACCCUGGCGUGCAAGCACCGAUAGGAGAGGAAAUGUUUGCUCAGCUGUAAAGGAGGGAGAGAAAAGGGAGAAAGCACAGGCGGCGUGGCAGGUCUUGUUUCAGUGAGAAUGUAAAGUACGUGAGCUAUGUGCUUUGUGAUGAAGUCGUUGAUUUAUUUCACUUUGGAACAAGCACACCACAACAAAGUGAGAAUGAGAAGGUAAUUCAGAGGGAGAAG